CCUACGGGUGGCAGCAGUGGGGAAUAUUGGACAAUGGGGGGAACCCUGAUCCAGCCAUGUCGCGUGUGUGAAGAAGGCCCUCGGGUUGUAAAGCACUUUCAGUGAGGAAGAACGCCUGGUGGUUAAUACCCAUCAGGAAAGACAUCACUCACAGAAGAAGCACCGGCUAACUCCGUGCCAGCAGCCGCGGUAAUACGGAGGGUGCGAGCGUUAAUCGGAAUUACUGGGCGUAAAGCGCGCGUAGGUGGCUUGAUAAGCCGGUUGUGAAAGCCCCGGGCUCAACCUGGGAACGGCAUCCGGAACUGUCAGGCUAGAGUGAAGGAGAGGAAGGUAGAAUUCCCGGUGUAGCGGUGAAAUGCGUAGAGAUCGGGAGGAAUACCAGUGGCGAAGGCGGCCUUCUGGACUGACACUGACACUGAGGUGCGAAAGCGUGGGUAGCAAACAGGAUUAGAUACCCCUGUAGUC
This 465-nucleotide ribosomal RNA is filed under the name Vreelandella stevensii. RNAcentral describes it as "partial 16S ribosomal RNA". It matches the Rfam family "Bacterial small subunit ribosomal RNA", at positions 338 to 795 of the family's 1533-position model. Lineage: Bacteria; Pseudomonadati; Pseudomonadota; Gammaproteobacteria; Oceanospirillales; Halomonadaceae. The record is from RNAcentral.